UACGGAGGGUGCGAGCGUUGUCCGGAAUCACUGGGCGUAAAGGGCGCGUAGGCGGCCUGAUAAGUAGGGGGUGAAAUCCUGCGGCUUAACCGCAGGGCUGCCUUCUAAACUGUCAGGCUUGAGCACAGUAGAGGCAGGUGGAAUUCCCGGUGUAGCGGUGGAAUGCGUAGAGAUCGGGAAGAACACCAGUGGCGAAAGCGGCUUCCUGGUCCAGCACCGACGUUCAGGCACGAAAGCGUGGGGAGCAAACAGG
RNAcentral lists this ribosomal RNA (253 nucleotides) under uncultured bacterium. RNAcentral describes it as "partial 16S ribosomal RNA". It matches the Rfam family "Bacterial small subunit ribosomal RNA", at positions 524 to 776 of the family's 1533-position model. The record is from RNAcentral.